RNAcentral lists this ribosomal RNA (403 nucleotides) under uncultured bacterium. RNAcentral describes it as "bacterial SSU rRNA". It matches the Rfam family "Bacterial small subunit ribosomal RNA", at positions 355 to 776 of the family's 1533-position model. The record is from RNAcentral.
UGGGGAAUUUUGCGCAAUGGAGGCAACUCUGACGCAGCAACGCCGCGUGCGGGAUGAAGGCCCUCGGGUUGUAAACCGCUUUCAGCAGGGAAGACUCCGACUGUACCUGCAUAAGAAGCCCCGGCUAACUACGUGCAAGCAGCCGCGGUAAUACGUAGGGGGCGAGCGUUAUCCGGAUUCAUUGGGCGUAAAGCGCGCGUAGGCGGCUCGCCAAGCGGGAUCUCAAACCUGAGGGCUCAACCCCCAGCAGGAUCCCGGACUGGCGGGCUCGAGUUCGGUAGGGGAAGGCGGAACUCCCAGUGUAGCGGUGAAAUGCGCAGAUAUUGGGAGGAACACCGAUGGCGAAGGCAGCCUUCUGGGCCGCAACUGACGCUGAGGUGCGAAAGCUAGGGGAGCGAACAGG